Molecule: ribosomal RNA, 496 nt
Filed under: Aleochara yamato
Lineage: Eukaryota; Metazoa; Arthropoda; Insecta; Coleoptera; Staphylinidae
Description: partial 16S ribosomal RNA
Rfam family: Bacterial large subunit ribosomal RNA
Source: RNAcentral
UAAUUUAAAGUCUAGCCUGCCCAAUGAUAAUUUUAAUGGCUGCAGUAUUUUGACUGUACAAAGGUAGCAUAAUCAUUAGUUUCUUAAUUAGAAACUGGAAUGAAAGGUUGAACGAAAAAGUAACUGUCUCUUUAUAAUUUUUUUAUAAUUUUAUUUUUAAGUUAAAAAGCUUAAAUAGAUUUGAAAGACGAGAAGACCCUAUAGAGUUUAAUAUUUUAUUUAUAAAAUUUUAAAAUAGAAUUAUUAUUAUUUUAUAAAAAAGAAUAUUUAGUUGGGGUGAUUGAAAAAUUUAGUUAACUUUUUUUUUAUUAAAACAUAUAUAAAUGAUUUAUUGAUCCAUUAUUAAUGAUUAUAAGAUUAAAUUACCUUAGGGAUAACAGCGUAAUUUUUUUUAAGAGUUCUUAUCGAUAAAAAAGUUUGCGACCUCGAUGUUGGAUUAAAAUAAAUUUUUGGUGUAGAAGCUAAAAAAUUAGGUCUGUUCGACCUUUAAAAUUUU